AUUGAACGCUGGCGGCAGGCCUAACACAUGCAAGUCGAACGAGUGGCGGACGGGUGAGUAAUGUAUGGGAACGUGCCUGAUGGUGGGGGAUAACUAAUGGAAACGGUAGCUAAUACCGCAUACCAUCGGAUGUGCCCAGAUGGGAUUGGCUAGUGGGUGGGGUAAAGGCUUACCAAGGCGACGAUCCGUAGCUGGUCUGAGAGGAUGACAAGACACACUGGAACUGAGACACGGUCCAGACUCCUACGGGAGGCAGCAGUGGGGAAUAUUGCACAAUGGGCGCAAGCCUGAUGCAGCCAUGCCGCGUGUAUGAAGAAGGCCUUCGGGUUGUAAAGGACUUUCAGCGGGGAGGCGGUACCCACAGAAGAAGCACCGGCUAACUCCGUGCCAGCAGCCGCGGUAAUAC
This 406-nucleotide ribosomal RNA is filed under the name uncultured bacterium. RNAcentral describes it as "partial 16S ribosomal RNA". It matches the Rfam family "Bacterial small subunit ribosomal RNA", at positions 29 to 526 of the family's 1533-position model. The record is from RNAcentral.